AAGAUUAAAUAUAAGUAGGCUUCUAACUUACUAAAAAUGAAAAGUUCAUUUUAAUCUUU
RNAcentral lists this transfer RNA (59 nucleotides) under Amblyomma ovale. RNAcentral's name for it is "tRNA-Ser". The record is from RNAcentral. Lineage: Eukaryota; Metazoa; Arthropoda; Arachnida; Ixodida; Ixodidae.